Caenorhabditis elegans is the source of this 135-nucleotide small nucleolar RNA. NCBI's taxonomy places the organism in Eukaryota, Metazoa, Nematoda, Chromadorea, Rhabditida, Rhabditidae. The record is from Ensembl.
GCAGGGUGUCGUGGCGGGCGCUUGUUACCCAGUGUCGAGGGCUGUAUUCAGGGGAGUUGACAUCAACCCUGUAUUAUUUCGGAUGUCUGGCAGAAAAUCAGCAUAAGUCUAGGUGGAGCGUAACUCCGCCAAAAA